This is a non-coding RNA of Mycena rebaudengoi, 72 nucleotides long. The record is from the annotation of a GenBank genome assembly. Lineage: Eukaryota; Fungi; Basidiomycota; Agaricomycetes; Agaricales; Mycenaceae.
GUCUCCGUAGUAUAGUGGUUAGUACGCUCGUUUGUGGUGCGAAUGACGCCAGUUCGAUUCCGGCCGGGGACA